Molecule: ribosomal RNA, 254 nt
Filed under: uncultured bacterium
Lineage: Bacteria
Description: partial 16S ribosomal RNA
Rfam family: Bacterial small subunit ribosomal RNA
Source: RNAcentral
GACGAACCGUGCGACCGUUAUUCGGAAUCACUGGGCUUAAAGCGCGUGUAGGCGGGACGGCACGUCGGUCGCUGAAAGCCCCCGGCUCAACCGGGGAACGGGCGCCGAUACGACCGUCCUGGAGGGACGUAGGGGGACCUGGAACUUCCGGUGGAGCGGUGAAAUGCGUUGAGAUCGGAAGGAACGCCCGUGGCGAAAGCGAGGUCCUGGACGUUUUCUGACGCUGAGACGCGAAAGCCAGGGGAGCGAACGGG